CACUCCUACGGGAGGCAGCAGUGGGGAAUAUUGGACAAUGGGCGCAAGCCUGAUCCAGCCAUGCCGCGUGAGUGAUGAAGGCCCUAGGGUUGUAAAGCUCUUUCACCGGUGAAGAUAAUGACGGUAACCGGUGAAGAAGCCCCGGCUAACUUCGUGCCAGCAGCCGCGGUAAUACGAAGGGGGCUAGCGUUGUUCGGAUUUACUGGGCGUAAAGCGCACGUAGGCGGACUAUUAAGUCAGGGGUGAAAUCCCGGGGCUCAACCCCGGAACUGCCUUUGAUACUGGUAGUCUUGAGUUCGAGAGAGGUGGGUGGAAUUCCGAGUGUAGAGGUGAAAUUCGUAGAUAUUCGGAGGAACACCAGUGGCGAAGGCGGCUCACUGGCUCGAUACUGACGCUGCGGUGCGAAAGCGUGGGGAGCAAACAGGAUUAGAAACCCGAGUAGUCCCAUGA
RNAcentral lists this ribosomal RNA (450 nucleotides) under uncultured organism. RNAcentral's name for it is "partial 16S ribosomal RNA". It matches the Rfam family "Bacterial small subunit ribosomal RNA", at positions 334 to 800 of the family's 1533-position model. The record is from RNAcentral.